RNAcentral lists this ribosomal RNA (488 nucleotides) under uncultured bacterium. RNAcentral describes it as "partial 16S ribosomal RNA". It matches the Rfam family "Bacterial small subunit ribosomal RNA", at positions 28 to 507 of the family's 1533-position model. The record is from RNAcentral.
GACGAACGCUGGCGGCGUGCUUAACACAUGCAAGUCGAACGGAAAGGCCCUCACCUUGGUGGGGGUGCUCGAGUGGCGAACGGGUGAGUAACACGUGGGUGAUCUGCCCUGUACUUCGGGAUAAGCUUGGGAAACUGGGUCUAAUACCGGAUAGGACCAUGGUUUAGUGUCUCAUGGUGGAAAAAUAUUGUUUUGGUGCAGGAUGAGCUCGCGGCCUAUCAGCUUGUUGGUGGGGUAAUGGCCUACCAAGGCGUCGACGGGUAGCCGGCCUGAGAGGGUGGACGGCCACAUUGGGACUGAGAUACGGCCCAGACUCCUACGGGAGGCAGCAGUGGGGAAUAUUGCACAAUGGGCGCAAGCCUGAUGCAGCGACGCCGCGUGGGGGAUGACGGCCUUCGGGUUGUAAACUCCUUUCGUUAGGGACGAAGCCACACCUUUUUUGGGUGUGGUGACGGUACCUUUGUUAAGAAGCACCGGCUAACUACGUG